GGGGCAGUAGCUCAGUGGUAGAGCUCCUGCUUCGUAUGCGGGUUCCCGGCUGCUUCA
Molecule: transfer RNA, 57 nt
Filed under: Toxocara canis (dog roundworm)
Lineage: Eukaryota; Metazoa; Nematoda; Chromadorea; Rhabditida; Toxocaridae
Rfam family: tRNA
About the family: Transfer RNA (tRNA) molecules are approximately 80 nucleotides in length. Their secondary structure includes four short double-helical elements and three loops (D, anti-codon, and T loops).
Source: Rfam by way of RNAcentral